GCCCAGACAACCAUCAGUGGUCUGGGGUGCAGGCUUCAAACUUGUAGCUGUCUCUAGUGCCAGAGUAGUUCAUUUCCACCUUUCAGGUG
This is a non-coding RNA of Falco peregrinus (peregrine falcon), 89 nucleotides long. The record is from the annotation of a RefSeq genome assembly. NCBI's taxonomy places the organism in Eukaryota, Metazoa, Chordata, Aves, Falconiformes, Falconidae.